AGAGUUUGAUCAUGGCUCAGGAUAAACGCUAGCGGCAGGCCUAACACAUGCAAGUCGAGGGGCAGCGGGUGGAGUAUUUCGGUACUCCUGCCGGCGACCGGCGCACGGGUGCGUAACGCGUAUGCAACCUACCUUUAACAGGGGGAUAAUCCGAAGAAAUUUGGUCUAAUACCCCAUAAUAUCAUUUAAGGCAUCUUAGAUGGUUGAAAAUUCCGAUGGUUAGAGAUGGGCAUGCGUUGUAUUAGCUAGUUGGUGAGGUAACGGCUCACCAAGGCUACGAUACAUAGGGGGACUGAGAGGUUUUCCCCCANACUGGUACCUGAGACACGGACCAGACUCCUACGGGAGCA
RNAcentral lists this ribosomal RNA (350 nucleotides) under uncultured bacterium. RNAcentral describes it as "bacterial SSU rRNA". It matches the Rfam family "Bacterial small subunit ribosomal RNA", at positions 8 to 349 of the family's 1533-position model. The record is from RNAcentral.